UCACAUCAUUUUAUCUAUUACUUUUCUAUUAUUUUGAUAUCAUUUGCUUAGAUUUUUGAAAAAAAAACAGGAAUAGAAUAGAAAAAUUGAAAUAAAUAAAAUAACAAAACGGGCUGUACAGUUGUGUAGUGGUUAGCACUUUCGCCUUGCAGCAAGAAGGUCCCUGGUUCGCGUCCCGGCUUUCCCGGGAUCUUUCUGCAUGGAGUUUGCAUGUUCUCCCUGUGCAUGCGUGGGUUCUCUCCUAGGGGCUUUCGACCAAAGAGCACCAGGUGCUAGGUUGGUUCAAAGUUGAGAGCCAGUACUUUUUUGGUUCAAAUCUCAUGCCGCCCCAGAACGGGUUUGUGUUUCCAUUCAGAAGGAGCAAAGUUGGAGCUGCGUCAUUGCGCCACCACAAAACGUGUGUACGUCACUGCGUACGUAGCCGUUCAACAGCGUUCACGCCGUACGGAAACCCACACAACAACAAUGGAGGACUUCAUUGGAGUGGUGUACAAGGCUUUGCUAGUGUGUCUCGCCAUCGCUGAACAGCAAAACCUUCUGUUAGGGGUUACCCAUCGGCGUCGCCGUUCCAAUGUCCGGCGAUCACGUUUGAGAAGAAAGAUGUCACCCCGCCCUCUGCCCGUGACAUGCUCGGCUCUCAACUCUGGCCACCUCUGGCCCAGCAACGAGUUGGUGCCCGAAACGGCCCCAGUUUUUGGAGCCCGGAGCCGCAGCUCCGGUGGUCGAAACACAAAAAACCGGCGCCAAGUCGGGCGCCGGCUCCAACUCCGAACGGGCUCCACCCCGGUCGAAAAGAGGGUACUCCGGCUUCCUCCCACAGUCCAAAAAUAUGCUGAGGUUAAUUGAUUAUUCUAAAUUGCCCGUAGGUGUGAAUGUGAGAGUGCUUGUUUGUCUUUGUAUGUAGCCCUGCGACAGACUGGCGAUCUGUCCAGGGUGUCCCCUGCCUUCACCCGAGUCAGCUGGGAUAGACUCCAGCCCCCCCGCGACCCUAGUGAGGAUUAAGCGGUGUAUAGAUAAUGGAUGGAUGGAUGGAAAAUAACAAAACACACACCAGUGAGAAUAAACUGUAAUGUUUUACAUAUUAAAGCUCCCACAUGGUGAAAGUC
This is a long non-coding RNA of Amphiprion ocellaris (clown anemonefish), 1106 nucleotides long. RefSeq lists it as uncharacterized. NCBI's taxonomy places the organism in Eukaryota, Metazoa, Chordata, Actinopteri, Pomacentridae. The record is from RefSeq and is a predicted model, not a curated record. The transcript has 2 exons.